CUUGUGCCUCCUUCUCUCUGAGCUCCUCCGCACCGACGCACCCUCCACCUCUUGCCACCUGGUCCUCCCCAUGCGAGAAAGACCGCGUCAUGUGGUGGCGUGCCUCCCUAACAGCCACGCAAAGACUUGCCCGGCACGUGUUCACGUCCGCACUCUGCUGUGUUUUUUGCUUAGAAUCUUUCUGAUUUCCAUAACCCCUGAUCCAGUGCAUGGCUUUCCUGGGCCAGGAGGCUAUACUAAGAAGCACAGGGCGUGAGCCACCGCAGCUAAGCCGUGUAAAGUAUCUCAAAAUUCCCACUUUAUGGAGCUGAAACAACAACCAAUCACAACCAGCCUACAAGUAAAGGAAGGCCACUGACAUAUGAGCUGCGGCAUCAGUGAGGUCAUCUGGACUUGUAGCCAAUGGGAGGGCUUUGUCACAAGUACAGGGCAUCUUGGGAUUGCCUCAGGGGGUAUGUGGCACUC
Long non-coding RNA from Brienomyrus brachyistius, 465 nucleotides. RefSeq lists it as uncharacterized. The record is from RefSeq and is a predicted model, not a curated record. Lineage: Eukaryota; Metazoa; Chordata; Actinopteri; Osteoglossiformes; Mormyridae. The transcript has 4 exons.